GUUUCUGACAUUGCCCUCAAAUAAUUUGAGUUUUAACACUGACGUCACUUACGUGCCUACGUACGUACGUACGUGCGCCACCUGUUUCUUUAUGAAGUGCUGGCAACCAUCUUGGAUUCCUCGCUUCGAGUGCGAAUGCCCGCUUGUUACUCCGAAAGAAACUUGUGGAAAGUUAAUAUCCGAACAGAAAUAAAAACAUUUGUGAAGGAUUUUUUUUGCUGCAUUGCCUUUGACGCUGGAUAAAGGAGGACGUGCUGUGGUAUGUUACGGACUUUUGAACUGGAACAGCUAACGCUCUGCACUUGGCUACUGCUGCAUUUACCGCCUAUGCAGCAAAUUUGUCUUCAGGAGCGCUUUUGUGUCUGUCUUGUCUUCUGUGUUUUACUGUUAUGUCCAUGCCAGGGCAGAAGUAAAUUUUCAGGGGUGAAGAUGCUGUUCACCUUGACCAGCUAAGACUACAGAUUGUAGAUGAAGUCGAGAAAAGUGAAAAGAAUCCUGUCCUGAUUACAAAGCUGAUGCACACAACUUUGGCCUUGCGAUGCAAAGAGAUCAUCAAUGAUGACCUACCAGUAGGUCAGAUCCGGGAUUGCUGGCCUACUCUGAAAUUCCAGUCCCAGAUCUGUGCAGAAUUCCACAGGAUUACAAACCUCCACCUGAAGAACCACUUUUAUGCUGUGUUGGACCAACAUGCUCCCCUGCUCCAGAGCUUAUUCAGAAGGAAAGCUGUUU
Oreochromis aureus is the source of this 729-nucleotide long non-coding RNA. The record is from Ensembl. NCBI's taxonomy places the organism in Eukaryota, Metazoa, Chordata, Actinopteri, Cichliformes, Cichlidae.